CGGUGGCCAUAGCGGAGGGGCCACACCCGUUCCCAUCCCGAACACGGCCGUUAAGCCCUCCAGCGCCUAUGGUACUGGGUCCUCCCGGGAGAGUAGGUCGCCGCCG
Molecule: ribosomal RNA, 106 nt
Filed under: marine eukaryotic metagenome
Source: RNAcentral